Molecule: non-coding RNA, 1131 nt
Organism: Triticum urartu
Lineage: Eukaryota; Viridiplantae; Streptophyta; Magnoliopsida; Poales; Poaceae
Source: RefSeq, a predicted model, not a curated record
CCCGGACCCCGACGAGGCCCCACCUUCCUACCAACCCUGGCCAACCUCCCUUCCCUGCCUCCGACCAGCACCGGACGUCCACCUCCCCUGGCACGCCGAUCCGCCCCGCCUCCACCCUCAACGGUGUAGCACCGCCAUGGGCUGGAUUCGGUAAGAUCCACUGUGCCACCCCUCGACCAGCCCGGCCCUCGCGUCGGCGGCUCCACCGAGCCAAAUCCCGAGCCCCUCCUUCGCCAGUAUUCUUCACCGCCGACGCACAUCGACCGGCAGCGAAUCAUCCUGCGCAAGACGACACGGCCCCCGCCCCAGACUGGUGCCAACGCGGCCCCGUGCCCAGCUUCUCCCUAUUGGCGUCGUCUUGGGCCCCGCCGCCUCGGUCUCUCGCCGGUUCAGUGCAUCUCGGGGCCGGCCCCUGACGAUUCCAACCGGCGACGGGGUCCCCUGCUCGCGUGCCCCUUGGGACCCCCUGCAAUCCUGAUCUCCCUGGCCACGCAAUCCUCACGUAGCCUUCGUAGGGCUGUGGAUUGGAUUGACGGCGUGGAUACAACCUUCUGAGUCAGAUGCUGGAGGACGUGGUGGACUGUCGAUCUGCUCCACAGCCCGGCAGGUGGCAGUGCAGACGAGCGUCGCCAGCUCAAGAGGAUUUGAUGAUGUCCAGGGCAUGGAUGAGGCCAAGCAGGAGCUUCUUGAGGUGAAUAUGGUGCACUAAUAAUCAAUACUAGUUGCUCAUGCUGGAAGAGAAAAAGGGGAAAACAUUGGAAAAAGAGUUGCAAUCAGGAUGAACAAGAGUUUUGUAAAAGAGGAGCUGAGAGGGCACAUCAAGAUGGAAGCUCACUUUUCAGGUCCAUGGCCAGCAAAGCGUGGGACAACAGUUGUGGCAAUGGAGAACAUGGUAGAUGGAGAAGGGGAGGUCAAGGGGGGAGGUUUGGGGAGCUGUGACUGGGAAGGUGGAAGCGGCGCGAGGUGCUACUGAGAUCAUGCCAUGAUCGCUAAUGGUUAUGAGCGCUAAUAACCAUUAGGAGGGUUUGGUGCGUCAGCUGUCAUGAUUGCUUAUGUCGUUAGGGGGGGUAGCAGUUACGAUCAUGACAGAUUCUCCCUUGGAGGCCAUGUGCGCGAGGGACUGUUUCUUUC